UGCUUGAUUUCAGUGUCCUGAAACCG
RNAcentral lists this non-coding RNA (26 nucleotides) under Cricetulus griseus (Chinese hamster). Lineage: Eukaryota; Metazoa; Chordata; Mammalia; Rodentia; Cricetidae. The record is from RNAcentral.